Molecule: ribosomal RNA, 398 nt
Filed under: uncultured bacterium
Lineage: Bacteria
Description: bacterial SSU rRNA
Rfam family: Bacterial small subunit ribosomal RNA
Source: RNAcentral
GGGAAUCUUGCGCAAUGGGCGAAAGCCUGACGCAGCCAUGCCGCGUGAAUGAUGAAGGUCUUAGGAUUGUAAAAUUCUUUCACCGGGGAAGAUAAUGACGGUACCCGGAGAAGAAGCCCCGGCUAACUUCGUGCCAGCAGCCGCGGUGAUACGAAGGGGGCUAGCGUUGCUCGGAAUUACUGGGCGUAAAGGGCGCGUAGGCGGACAGUUUAGUCAGAGGUGAAAGCCCAGGGCUCAACCUUGGAAUUGCCUUUGAUACUGGCUGUCUUGAGUGCGGGAGAGGUGUGUGGAACUCCGAGUGUAGAGGUGAAAUUCGUAGAUAUUCGGAAGAACACCAGUGGCGAAGGCGACACACUGGCCCGUUACUGACGCUGAGGCGCGAAAGCGUGGGGAGCAAA